This 811-nucleotide ribosomal RNA is filed under the name uncultured bacterium. RNAcentral's name for it is "bacterial SSU rRNA". It matches the Rfam family "Bacterial small subunit ribosomal RNA", at positions 504 to 1312 of the family's 1533-position model. The record is from RNAcentral.
UGUGCCAGCCGCCGCGGUAAUACAGAGGGUGCGAGCGUUAAUCGGAAUUACUGGGCGUAAAGCGAGUGUAGGUGGCUCAUUAAGUCACAUGUGAAAUCCCCGGGCUUAACCUGGGGACUGCAUGUGAUACUGGUGGUGCUAGAAUGUGUGAGAGGGAAGUAGAAUUCCAGGUGUAGCGGUGAAAUGCGUAGAGAUCUGGAGGAAUACCGAUGGCGAAGGCAGCUUCCUGGCAUAAUAUUGACACUGAGAUUCGAAAGCGUGGGUAGCAAACAGGAUUAGAUACCCUGGUAGUCCACGCCGUAAACGAUGUCUACUAGCCGUUGGGGUCCUUGAGACUUUAGUGGCGCAGUUAACGCGAUAAGUAGACCGCCUGGGGAGUACGGCCGCAAGGUUAAAACUCAAAUGAAUUGACGGGGGCCCGCACAAGCGGUGGAGCAUGUGGUUUAAUUCGAUGCAACGCGAAGAACCUUACCUGGUCUUGACAUUGUGAGAAUCCUGCAGAGAUGCGGGAGUGCCUUCGGGAAUUCACAUACAGGUGCUGCAUGGCUGUCGUCAGCUCGUGUCGUGAGAUGUUGGGUUAAGUCCCGCAACGAGCGCAACCCUUUUCCUUAUUCGCCAGCGGGUUAAGCCGGGAACUUUAAGGAUACUGCCAGUGACAAACUGGAGGAAGGCGGGGACGACGUCAAGUCAUCAUGGCCCUUACGACCAGGGCUACACACGUGCUACAUGGUAGGUACAGAGGGUUGCUACACAGCGAUGUGAUGCUAAUCUCAAAAAGCCUAUCGUAGUUCCGGAUUGGGAGUCUGCAACU